CAACUUGGCAUACCUCAGCAUUGUGUGCAGUGUUUCCUUAAAAAAAAAGCUAAGAAAACUGUACAAAUGGAGAAGAAAAGAAGGAGUGGGCCUAAAAACUAUUUGCAGAAGAAAUGAAAGUCAUGUCUUUGAAUUGGAAAAAAGAAAUCCAACCAAGACCUGAUACAGGACCUGAACGAUGCAUCUGGUCAUUCAUUUGAUACUCUUCACUGAAGCCCCAUCAGAAAUGUGAAGCCUGAGCGAUACAACAACAGUCCAACACACUCUGCAUGAACUGUUCAGUGUCCUCAUUUCCUUCCAGUGCUCCUGGGAAUGUCCUGAAUCAGUCUGGCCCCUGCUCCCGACCCCGAGCCACAGAGAAACACUUUCUCUGUGAAACCACACAAAAGAUGCAGUCAGUGUGUGUGUCGGGAGGAUGCUGUCAUUUUCUCACCACAUGGUCACACUGAAGUGCUUCAACGACAAGGUCAGCACUGCAGAAUGCCAAAGAUACACUGUAAGGGGGGGCGCUCUCGGGCCAGAGUUCCCCACACAGACACCACUAUUACCGCACAAUGGUGGUCUGUCUGACUAAACCCUCGGAGCAGCUCGUCUGGGUACAUUCAACCCUUAAAACACCACCGGCUGUAAUCCCCUUGUUAAUGAGCAGAAGCCUGGAAAACAACAAGAUCCCAUCCGAUGGAUAAAUGUGAGAAUAAGUGCAGGGGUCCAUGAUAUCACAGCCCAUUCUGAGCCUCAUGGAGCUUUAAGAGUAGCUAAAGUCCACCUUCUUAUAUUAGUCUUACUCAUAUGUGCAGUCACGCUGUCUACAACCCAACCUUAUUCAAUGUAUAAUCACAUUUACCUUCUUUAUCUCCUAUUCAUACCCCAAGAGGAGGCUUAACUGAAAGAGUAUAAUCCUAAAAAUCUUUGAUAGACUUCCCGUUAGUCUGCAUAUUGAGCACUUAGUGAAAAAGCUGAAGGUUAGACUGAGUUUAUUAUGGAAAUAGGGUCUUCUUUUAAUGUAGCACCUAGGAAUACACUUGUACAGGC
Molecule: long non-coding RNA, 1032 nt
Organism: Oreochromis aureus
Lineage: Eukaryota; Metazoa; Chordata; Actinopteri; Cichliformes; Cichlidae
Source: Ensembl